GUGCUUGCUUCAACAACAUAUGUACUAAAAUUGGAAUAAGAGAAAUCAGCGUGGCCACUGCCCAAGGAUGACAAAUUCAUGAAAUGUUAUGUAUUUUU
Molecule: small nuclear RNA, 98 nt
Filed under: Zalophus californianus (California sea lion)
Lineage: Eukaryota; Metazoa; Chordata; Mammalia; Carnivora; Otariidae
Source: RNAcentral